Molecule: non-coding RNA, 725 nt
Organism: Linepithema humile (Argentine ant)
Lineage: Eukaryota; Metazoa; Arthropoda; Insecta; Hymenoptera; Formicidae
Source: RefSeq, a predicted model, not a curated record
CAAAAAUCGAAAAUAAAAUACAAUAUAAUACUAAUCGUAAUGCUGCUAUUCCACCAGUCAUUCAAUUAUUGGUUGCACUCAGAUUUUAUGCAACUGGAUGCUUUUUAAUAACAGCUGCUGAUUUUUGUGGAAUUAGUGAAACAAGCGCUCACAAAAUUAUUCAUAGAGUAUCUCCUGAGAUUGCUGCAUUACGAAACGAUUUUAUAAAAUUACCUCUUUUAUCUGAGGAAAUUCGAGAAAAUGAACAAAAAUUUUUCAAAGUAGCCAAAUUUAUUCGUGUUAUUGGUUGUAUGGAUUGCACACAUAUUAAAGUGGAAUCAUUUGGAGGAGAAAAUUGCGAAUUAUAUCGCAAUAGAAAAGGCUUUUUUUCUAUAAAUGUGCAAGUCAUAAUAAAUGCCAAAUUAGAAAUAAUUGAUAUUGUAGCACGUUGGCCAGGAUCAACACAUGAUUCUACAAUUUUUAAUCAUUCUAGAAUUAAAACCUUAUUUGAUGCACAUACAUUUGGUGACAGUUUACUUCUUGCAGAUUCUGGGUAUCCAAAUCUACCAUAUUUAAUGACACCGUUGUUACAUCCCACAACACCAGAAGAACAUUUAUAUAAUGAAGCUCAAAUUCGAACACGUACAAGAAUUGAAAGAUGUUUUGGCAUUUGGAAAAGAAGAUUUGCUAUUUUAUCAAUUGGAAUGCGAUGUCGCACAGUUGAAAAUACAUUUCCUAUUAUAAUA